Schistocerca piceifrons (Central American locust) is the source of this 349-nucleotide long non-coding RNA. RefSeq lists it as uncharacterized. Lineage: Eukaryota; Metazoa; Arthropoda; Insecta; Orthoptera; Acrididae. The transcript has 3 exons. The record is from RefSeq and is a predicted model, not a curated record.
GUAGUGUAUCACAUGACAGACAACAUGUAAAAAGGCCCGAUGCUGUCGUCUGCACCCAGGCUGUUUAUGAGCGCUAUUAGCUCCUCGGCAGCGAGCUUCAUGUUGACGGCCGUGGGCCGCGCCGAGACCAAGUAGUUGAGCUUCCCCUCCACUUCCUGACGAAGAACCUUCUUGUCGUCGAAGGUCUCACCCAGCAGCUCGACGGCCAGGCUGAGGCAGCCCACGAUCGCUAUAGCUGGUGCUCCCCGCACCUACACCCACACCAUUUAUGUUCAGACCACACGAGGUAUUAUACAAUGGAGCUUCUGUGUACCUGGAAUUGUUCUUGUAUUCCUGAAACAUUGCUUCA